This 159-nucleotide small nucleolar RNA is filed under the name Echinococcus granulosus. RNAcentral's name for it is "Small nucleolar RNA U3". It matches the Rfam family "Small nucleolar RNA U3". Rfam says of the family: Small nucleolar RNAs (snoRNAs) are involved in the processing and modification of rRNA in the nucleolus. There are two main classes of snoRNAs: the box C/D class, and the box H/ACA class. Lineage: Eukaryota; Metazoa; Platyhelminthes; Cestoda; Cyclophyllidea; Taeniidae. The record is from Rfam by way of RNAcentral.
AAGACAUUACUCCUAGGGAUCACUCCUAUAGUAAGCAUCACCAGGACGUCAGUCAAAUCUGCUCCUGGCUACCCAACCGUGAUGACGACAUGUGUCGUCCGUUGGACCGUCAGCGUGAUUAGACUUCGGGUUGUCAGUAGGCGCAGCCACAACAACGGU